This is a non-coding RNA of Vicugna pacos (alpaca), 397 nucleotides long. The record is from RefSeq and is a predicted model, not a curated record. Lineage: Eukaryota; Metazoa; Chordata; Mammalia; Artiodactyla; Camelidae.
UUUUCUUUCUCUUCUGUCUUUCUUCCUUCCUUCUUUCUUUCCUAGCAUUUUGUUUUUUAAACUUUUCUUCUAUUUUUAUUUCUUUUAUCAUUUUAAAUGGCAGUAGAGUGGAUUAACAACAUUGUGCUAGUUUCAGGUGUACAGAACAGUGGUUCAGCUAUAUAUAUAUUUAUUUUAUUUCAGAUUCUUUUCCUUCAGAGGUUAUUACAAGACAUUGAAAUAUAGUUCCCUGUGCUGUACAGUAGGACUGAAAACCUUUUUUUUUCAGUUUCCAGUCAUCACCAGCUCCUCUAGGGUGUGAAUAUUUUGAACAAGUAGUUUAGCAGCUGGUCCAUGAGUGUCUGCUUUGGGAGAAGGCCUCAACAAGCCAUUAUGGAGGACAGUAUGGAGGUUCCUU